UCAAUGUGAGCUGUUUGACCGCAAUGCUUAGCAUGAGUGAUCUAGCUUAAAGUUCAUCAGAUUUUGGAGAGGCGAAGACGGAACCUUUCUCCCCUUAAACGCACCUCUAAAUCUUGAAAUGCUGAUCGACAAAUUUCUAGUAUCUGUUUUUGCUUGUGAAUCUAAUGCUCACUCUUUGAAGCUUGCACUUCUCCUCACACACACACACACAUAUAUAUGGUCUAGCUUUUCUUUUCGUUGCUGGCCAAGAUCAGCACAAAAGAGAAGAAAUCUUCAGGUAUGGCUGUACUCUUCAGUAUUUUGUUUCUUUAUUCCUUCACUACGAUCUGCUCAUAUCUAUCUGUAGGCAGCAGGGGGAAAACCACUGCUUGGAUGUUGGACAUUAGUUUUGGGACUGGGUUGCUCCAAGCAUCACUCUAUACUAUGGCGCUCGAUUGAGGUUUGGCCAUGGCACUAGAUGCAGAGCUCUAGACUAUGGCGAGGAAGAGACGGACAUUUUUCCAUUCCAUCUCAGUUAGAAACCACAUGCCUAAUCAUCUAGAAUAGAAUUGGAACAACUCCUGGUCAUUUCAGAAAUAGAGGCAACGAGAGUCAAUAGCUAUCUCAAUCGAUUUCACCAGAGUAGCCAGACCUGGAGACCAUCCCAGUUAAGGAGAUAAUGCUACACUGAGACCGUUGGCCCCAAGGAUAGAAUUGAGUUUUGUCACCCAUAUCACAAAUUAAGUUUCAGUGCGCCUGAAAGGUUUUGGAUUCAGGCAGAGUUUCGAGAUCAAGGAUCUGAGCUUGCAUCACCAUGCUUACAUCGGAAUUUAAAUAGAAUCAAAACACCGUGUACCUGAGAGUUCAAGGGUCGGGAUGAGAAACGUCUGGACUGCCCUCCACGACCUCAGAUGUCAGACUCCAGUUGCUUUAGAACGCACUGAAUUUACGUGAAGAGCUGCAUCAAACUUAAACGUUGGUUAAGUAUUACCUGAAAGCUAUUUGAACACGUAUUAAAUUAAAGAAGAGCAGGCGAAGUAGGUACUGACUGCUUGACUAGUG
This 1041-nucleotide long non-coding RNA is filed under the name Selaginella moellendorffii. RNAcentral describes it as "long non-coding RNA (SMOE_LNC002112)". The record is from RNAcentral. Lineage: Eukaryota; Viridiplantae; Streptophyta; Lycopodiopsida; Selaginellales; Selaginellaceae.